Molecule: long non-coding RNA, 2346 nt
Organism: Girardinichthys multiradiatus
Lineage: Eukaryota; Metazoa; Chordata; Actinopteri; Cyprinodontiformes; Goodeidae
Exons: 2
Source: RefSeq, a predicted model, not a curated record
AAAACGUCACAGACCAAUCAGCACAGAGUAUAAUGGACAUGUCUUCCUGUCUUUGGGUCCAUCUUGAAGUCCUGAGCCAGCAGGAAAGGUUCUGUGGAGAUGACAGAAGUUCUGCAGAGGAACAGAUCAUGUCUUCAUGUCCUCCUUCUGUCUUCCUCCAGGACAAAACCUGAUCCCACCAUCAACAGAACCUCAGACUGUGUGGUUCUUUGUUCACAGGGCGGAUCCAUUACAGACAGCUGGGCAGAAACAGCAGACAGGACUUCAGUUGACGUCCACAGAGCGACUUUAUAUUUAGCUGUGGAGCUAAUCCAUUAUGAAGCAGAAAACCACCAGAGAUCAUCUGAACUAACUCUAACUGGCUGAAGGAGGCGUCUCCAAACUUGGAGCUGUUUAUUAGUAGGAAGCUUUUACCAGCCUGUGUUUAUGUGUGUACAUGUUUUCUGCUCGCUCUCAGCUUGAAUCCUGCAGGAGGAAGACUUACAGGAGAUGUUAAACACUACUGAGAUGAUGGAGAGUCAGAACGGACAUCUGUUUGAGAAGGUCAUAGUGAACUAUGACCUCACUACUGCCUCCAGCGAGCUGCAGUUGGCACUAUAGCAACUGGAGACCCACUGGGUUCCAGCCAGCUGGACUCACUCCUGAGACCCAGACUGACUGGGAGAGGAGGGAAGGGAAGGGCUGCAACAAACAAUAUGUAUUUUAAGUUGGAUUCAGACCUCAGCUGCUGUCUGGAUGGUGAUCUCCAGGUUAGAGAAAGCCUGACAGGUUUACAGCUGAGAAUGUCUCUCUUAAUGUGGGCUCAGGAAGCAUUUCUGGAUCACACAACACCAACCUGGAAUGUUUUUGGUCAGUGGCCCAGAGGUCACUUUGUAGAGUUCUGGCAGUAAUCAUCCUGUUCCACCUUGCACAAAAGAACAGAUACCGGUCCUACUGAUGGGUUAUGGACCUCCGACAGCCUUGUCCAGCUGUCCAAAAACAUCUUAUUUGAAAGAAAUUAAUAUAUUUUCUAGAUAUUUCCAGGACUUAAGCACUUUUUAUGAAAGUGUUGGACUUUAAGGGAACUUGAUCGUAUCUGGAUCUCCAUCUUUCUUUUUAACAACAGAGACCUUUCUUCUUCCUACAAAGCUUCUCUAGUUAUUUUAUUUAGCUGUUGUAUGUUCCAUCCUGGAGCUGUUUGAAACACCAGCUUUCAUACAGGGUGUCCAGCAGACCAAUUUUGCCAUUUAUAGAACUGGGCACAUUUGUCUUUAACAAGAAAGUUUCACUGUUGUGUUUUAUUAGGGUGGAGUUUUUAUUUUUAUUCAUAUAAACAUGGUUUCAGUGAGGCUGCUAACAGCAGCUCCACAGCAGACUUCCAGGAUCUUCAGGAAGAAACUGCUCCUGAUAUAAUGAGCAUCAGAAGUUUAUCACUGGAGUCACCCAGUCUUAGUCACUCAUACGUAGUUUUUUAUUCGCUACUUUCUCAAGUAUUUAUCAGAGAGAUGCUUUUAUUUCUUCUGAACUAGUUUCCAAAUUUUCUGCUUUGCUGCUUUUGCUCAGACGAGGUCACAUCUAUGUUCACAGUUCAGUAGUUUCUCAACUGGGGGACCCCAUGUUAUACCCCCCUGAACAGGGGGAGAAAAUCAGUAUCAAAAACAUAGCGACUUCUCAGGUCUGACAGUGUUUAUUGAAUGUUGACACCUAGCCCAGGCUUCCCCUAGUGGUUACCAAAACUGAUACGCAACAGAGGUAGCCACUGGUAAAGAUCCUUAUUCUAAGAAACAAUUAUUUUUAUCACAAUCACCAACAGUAUUAUAAUAAGAAAAUGCAUUUCAGCUUGUACUGUUUUUUUCAACUAUUACAUCCACACCCACAGUGGCUCACAACACAAGUUCAAAUCUAUAAAUGACUAAUUAAGAAAAUAUACUAGAUUUUGUAUUAAACAAAGAAAAUUACGUGUAACUCUUCAAAGGUUGAAUAGAUUUCUGCAUUUAACAAAGCUCCUGGUGAUCUGUGUGGAGGUUUAGAGGUUUUUCCUACUGAGUGUCACUGGAAUGUAUUUCAGAAAGAAAAUAUUCCAGUUCAUACAUUUUAUCUUGUAAAUGAGAGCACUAGAGAGCAGUAAGUCAUUCAAUAAAUAGUUUCAUUACUUGCAUACUAUCCCAGCUGAAUAUGAAGAACUUCAUCUGUACUCCAACCACUGUUAAUUUAUGAGUCCUGGUGGUUUAUGACAUUGUAGUAUAGCUCACUGGGGCUGGAGCUCCUCAGUCUCACCUGAAACAUAAAGUAUACAGGUGCAUAUAGUGCCUGACCAGAAGCAAUAUUUUAUGUAUCCCAUUUAUCAAAUAAAAUGAAUCAAAAACA